UCCAGACAGUAUAUACAGUUGUAAACCACCAAGGAGACCAGACAGUAUAUAUAGUUGUAAACCAAUAUUAGGAAGACUAGACAGUAUCUACAGUUUUAUACCAGCACUAGGGAGACCUGACUAUAUAUAUAGUUGUAUACCAGCAUUAGGGAGACCCGACAGUAUAUAUGGUUGUAUUCCAGCAUUAGGCAGACCAGACUGUAUGUAUUAUUGAAUACCAGCAUCAGGGAGACCAGACUGUAUAUAUAGUUGUAUACCAGUAUUAGGG
This is a long non-coding RNA of Haliotis rubra (blacklip abalone), 268 nucleotides long. RefSeq lists it as uncharacterized. The record is from RefSeq and is a predicted model, not a curated record. Lineage: Eukaryota; Metazoa; Mollusca; Gastropoda; Lepetellida; Haliotidae. The transcript has 3 exons.